GAGCGGGCGUAGCAAUACGUCAGCGGCAGACGGGAUGAGUAACGCGUGGGAACGUACUUUUUGUUUCGGAACAACACAGGGAAACUUGUGCUAAUACCGGAUAAGCCCUUACGGGGAAAGAUUUAUCGCCGAAAGAUCGGCCCGCGUCUGAUUAGCUAGUUGGUGAGGUAACGGCUCACCAAGGCGACGAUCAGUAGCUGGUCUGAGAGGAUGAUCAGCCACAUUGGGACUGAGACACGGCCCGAACUCCUACGGGAGGCAGCAGUGGGGAAUAUUGGACAAUGGGCGCAAGCCUGAUCCAGCCAUGCCGCGUGAGUGAUGAAGGCCCUAGGGUUGUAAAGCUCUUUUGUGCGGGAAGAUAAUGACGGUACCGCAAGAAUAAGCCCCGGCUAACUUCGUACCAGCAGCCGCGGUAAUACGAAGGGGGCUAGCGUUGCUCGGAAUCACUGGGCGUAAAGGGUGCGUAGGCGGGUCUUUAAGUCAGGGGUGAAAUCCUGGAGCUCAACUCCAGAACUGCCUUUGAUACUGAGGAUCUUGAGUUCGGGAGAGGUGAGUGGAACUGCGAGUGUAGAGGUGAAAUUCGUAGAUAUUCGCAAGAACACCAGUGGCGAAGGCGGCUCACUGGCCCGAUACUGACGCUGAGGCACGAAAGCGUGGGGAGCAAACAGGAUUAGAUACCCUGAUAGUCCACGCCGUAAACGAUGAAUGCCAGCCGUUAGUGGGUUUACUCACUAGUGGCGCAGCUAACGCUUUAAGCAUUCCGCCUGGGGCGUACGGUCGCAAGAUUAAAACUCAAAGGAAUUGACGGGGGCCCGCACAAGCGGUGGAGCAUGUGGUUUAAUUCGACGCAACGCGCAGAACCUUACCAGCCCUUGACAUGUCUAGGACCGGUCGCAGAGACGCGACCUUCUCUUCGGAGCCUAGAGCACAGGUGCUGCAUGGCUGUCGUCAGCUCGUGUCGUGAGAUGCUGGGUUAAGUCCCGCAACGAGCGCAACCCUCGUCCUUAGUUGCUACCAUUUAU
This 1022-nucleotide ribosomal RNA is filed under the name uncultured bacterium. RNAcentral describes it as "bacterial SSU rRNA". It matches the Rfam family "Bacterial small subunit ribosomal RNA", at positions 64 to 1128 of the family's 1533-position model. The record is from RNAcentral.